UCCCACAUUAUUGGUUAAUCGAGAAUCAAAGUGCAUUUACCAAUGAAUCACAAAAUAUUAUGGUUCUUAAAUAUUAUUUAUUAAUUUAUUCACUUAAUUUAUUCAGAAGUAAUUCGCGGGAUCAUGCAUCUUUUAAUUUUUACUAGUUAUAAUGAAAAAAAGUGCAGCUGGUUUAGUCCAGCCAAUUCUUGAAAUAAACAACUCGCACACACUCCCUUUCCA
RNAcentral lists this long non-coding RNA (222 nucleotides) under Eucalyptus grandis. RNAcentral describes it as "long non-coding RNA (EGRA_LNC007554)". The record is from RNAcentral. Lineage: Eukaryota; Viridiplantae; Streptophyta; Magnoliopsida; Myrtales; Myrtaceae.